RNAcentral lists this unclassified non-coding RNA (238 nucleotides) under uncultured fungus. RNAcentral's name for it is "partial contains 5.8S ribosomal RNA, internal transcribed spacer 2, and large subunit ribosomal RNA". The stretch from base 1 to 52 matches the Rfam family "5.8S ribosomal RNA", at positions 103 to 154 of the family's 154-position model. RNAcentral also lists the same sequence under 1 other name. Lineage: Eukaryota; Fungi. The record is from RNAcentral.
AACGCACAUUGCGCCCUGUGGUAUUCCGCAGGGCAUGCCUGUUCGAGCGUCAUUACAACCCUCAAGCUCAGCUUGGUAUUGGGGUGUGCCGGCAACGGCAGCCCCUAAAAUCAGUGGCGGUGCUGUCAGGCCCUAAGCGUAGUAAACUUUCUCGCUACAGGGUCCUGGGAGCAGUAGCCAACAACCCCCACUUUCUAUGGUUGACCUCGGAUCAGGUAGGGAUACCCGCUGAACUUAA